This 221-nucleotide microRNA precursor is filed under the name Arabidopsis thaliana (thale cress). RNAcentral describes it as "MIR854 microRNA precursor family". It matches the Rfam family "MIR854 microRNA precursor family". Lineage: Eukaryota; Viridiplantae; Streptophyta; Magnoliopsida; Brassicales; Brassicaceae. The record is from Rfam by way of RNAcentral.
CAGAUGAUAUAGAUGAGGCGGAGUUUGACACGAGCAUGUAUCAUUUCAGCGAGCAUAUACCUCCAUCGAGGGAAAGCAAGAGCUUGAGUGAAGCUCAUAGGAACAAUAGUAAACUGCAGAAGUGGUGCAAAAAGCAGGACAAGCUGCUCGCCAAGUGUUUCAAGACUAUCAAGUUUCUGACAGAUAAGCUGAGUUGUUCCUCCUCCACUACAGCUAUUCCG